This 409-nucleotide ribosomal RNA is filed under the name Actinomycetes bacterium. Its description in RNAcentral is "Actinobacteria bacterium partial 16S ribosomal RNA". It matches the Rfam family "Bacterial small subunit ribosomal RNA", at positions 355 to 776 of the family's 1533-position model. Lineage: Bacteria; Bacillati; Actinomycetota; Actinomycetes. The record is from RNAcentral.
UGGGGAAUAUUGCACAAUGGGCGGAAGCCUGAUGCAGCGACGCCGCGUGGGGGAUGAAGGCCUUCGGGUUGUAAACUUCUUUCGACAGGGACGAAGCUUUUGUGACGGUACCUGUAUAAGAAGCACCGGCUAACUACGUGCCAGCAGCCGCGGUAAUACGCAGGGUGCGAGCGUUGUCCGGAAUUACUGGGCGUAAAGAGCUCGUAGGUGGUUUGUCGCGUCGUCUGUGAAAUUCCGGGGCUUAACUCCGGGCGUGCAGGCGGUACGGGCUGACUUGAGGGCUGUAGGAGAGACUGGAGUUCCUGGUGUAGCGGUGGAAUGCGCAGAUAUCAGGAGGAGCACCGAUGGCGAAGGAAGGUCUCUGGGCAGUAACUGACGCUGAGGAGCGAAAGCAUGGGUAGCGAACAGG